UACAAGUAGAGGUUGCACACAACAUCAGUAAUUUCCGGGAGUAGUCAUGCGAAGAUCGGUUAUGAAAGGGGCGUGUGCCGAAGGGUAGCACCGGAAAACUGCUUCCCUGGGACUUGUCUUAACAAGAUAAGUACUGUCAGUUUUACUGAU
Molecule: non-coding RNA, 150 nt
Filed under: Globicatella sulfidifaciens
Lineage: Bacteria; Bacillati; Bacillota; Bacilli; Lactobacillales; Aerococcaceae
Description: Lysine riboswitch
Rfam family: Lysine riboswitch aptamer
About the family: Riboswitches are metabolite binding domains within certain messenger RNAs that serve as precision sensors for their corresponding targets. Allosteric rearrangement of mRNA structure is mediated by ligand binding, and this results in modulation of gene expression. This family includes riboswitches that sense lysine in a number of genes involved in lysine metabolism, including lysC.
Source: RNAcentral